Long non-coding RNA from Musca domestica (house fly), 630 nucleotides. RefSeq lists it as uncharacterized. The transcript has 2 exons. Lineage: Eukaryota; Metazoa; Arthropoda; Insecta; Diptera; Muscidae. The record is from RefSeq and is a predicted model, not a curated record.
AAUAACAGCCUGUUCCACGAUCUCGAAAGAAAAUUUGUGCGAACGAAGGCUACUCACUCACUUUCGUAUAAGAAUGCGUUCCACUAACUUUCGUUCUUUCUUUCGCAUAGCCUUACGUGAUUCAGUGUUGCUAAAUAUUUUUUGGCAAAAUUAAUCGCAAAAUAAAGCAAAAAAAAAAGCGCCAAAUGUCUAAUUUAAACGCGAAAAAGCAGCAGUGGCUGUGUCUCAACUGACAGUUCAAACAAAUUGUAAAUAAACAAACAAAACAAAAUUUUUAGUGAUUGUGUUCAAAUUAUUUGUGUUCUUAAAAAAGAAAAAAAUGAAUAUUUCUGUAGCCCUAUUUUUUAUGGAUGAUGAGGAGGAGGUUCAAAAUGUGCCACGGAGGCAUUUAAGAGAUUCUUCGAAUUUAUUUGAAGUACCUAACAACCAGUUUGUGGCCAAUUUUCGUGUGUCGAAGGAAGUUUUUCGGGCUCUUUUGGAUAUGAUGGAUAUGAUGCUGCUUCCAAAAAUUGGCACUCCUCUGGCGAACUCAGGAUUCUCCUACAUAUACUCAACUAGUGCCCGCAGCUGUGUAGUUGAUUUUUUCGUGCUGGCAUUUAGGAAAUAAAAAAAAUAUAUUUGUUGUUCACA